RNAcentral lists this ribosomal RNA (274 nucleotides) under uncultured bacterium. Its description in RNAcentral is "partial 16S ribosomal RNA". It matches the Rfam family "Bacterial small subunit ribosomal RNA", at positions 523 to 796 of the family's 1533-position model. The record is from RNAcentral.
AUACGGAGGAUCCAAGCGUUAUCCGGAAUCAUUGGGUUUAAAGGGUCCGUAGGCGGGUUUGUAAGUCGGUGGUGAAAUCUUGCAGCUCAACUGUAAAAUUGCCAUUGAUACUGGAUUUCUUGAAUUAGUGUGAAGUGAUUAGAAUGUGUAGUGUAGCGGUGAAAUGCAUAGAUAUUACACAGAAUACCAAUUGCGAAGGCAGAUCACUAACACUAUAUUGACGCUGAGGGACGAAAGCGUGGGGAGCGAACAGGAUUAGAAACCCCAGUAGUCC